This is a non-coding RNA of Paramuricea clavata, 251 nucleotides long. The record is from the annotation of a GenBank genome assembly. NCBI's taxonomy places the organism in Eukaryota, Metazoa, Cnidaria, Anthozoa, Malacalcyonacea, Plexauridae.
AAAGAUAUUUCAAGUUUUCUGUUGUUUUUGAGCUAAAAAUCUUAAUAUUUCCAAUUUUCCAUGAUCGCACAUUACUUGUUUUACAACGCGGAGGAAGGAUGCGGUUUGGUUCGCUUGUGGAUGCAGCACUUCACUGCAAAGAAAGACUAAUUCUUUCAGGUAAGAUUCACGAAACUUUUUUUAACUUUCUAGGGACUUGCAUGGUCAUAUCACUCGAGAUAUCAUCACUCAUAUGUCAAAAACUCAUCAUC